RNAcentral lists this long non-coding RNA (506 nucleotides) under Scleropages formosus (Asian bonytongue). Its description in RNAcentral is "lncRNA (ENSSFOG00015027759.1)". The record is from RNAcentral. Lineage: Eukaryota; Metazoa; Chordata; Actinopteri; Osteoglossiformes; Osteoglossidae.
GGGUACAGAUAUCCUUACAGCUGGGUGCGCAACUCACCCUUCUUUGCAGCAGCUCCGAACGCAAUUGACUCACGGUAGACGCCGUGGCUCCGUUAAAUGAUCAAGGGGGAGGAGCCACGAUGGGGCGGGGCGUGGAGGAGGCGUGGCCUCGUAGGGGAUUUCCAUACUGUCGAUCCGCGCGACGGAUGGCCCGAUACCUGGAAACCUUCACAAGUGAAACGGACACACGCUCGAAGUCGGAACACUGCAGCUGCUCCCACACCCGCUGACGGAGAACUGCGCGCCAACACCUUGAGCCGGAGCCUAACCCAGCAACACAGGGCGAAGGGCUGGAGGGGGAGAGAACACACCCAGGAUGGGACGCCAGUCCGCCGCAAGGCACCCCAAGCGGGACUCGAACCCCAGACCCACCAGAGAGCAGGACCCGGUCCAACCCACUGUGCCACCGCACCCCCCCAGUACUUCGAACCCGGUGCCCAAAUCCACCAGAAUUUACUAAUUUCAAG